RNAcentral lists this ribosomal RNA (492 nucleotides) under uncultured bacterium. RNAcentral's name for it is "partial 16S ribosomal RNA". It matches the Rfam family "Bacterial small subunit ribosomal RNA", at positions 29 to 507 of the family's 1533-position model. The record is from RNAcentral.
AGUGAACGCUGGCGGUAGGCCUAACACAUGCAAGUCGAACGGCAGCACAGUAAGAGCUUGCUCUUACGGGUGGCGAGUGGCGGACGGGUGAGGAAUACAUCGGAAUCUACUUUUUCGUGGGGGAUAACGUAGGGAAACUUACGCUAAUACCGCAUACGACCUACGGGUGAAAGCAGGGGAUCUUCGGACCUUGCGCGAUUGAAUGAGCCGAUGUCGGAUUAGCUAGUUGGCGGGGUAAAGGCCCACCAAGGCGACGAUCCGUAGCUGGUCUGAGAGGAUGAUCAGCCACACUGGAACUGAGACACGGUACAGACUCCUACGGGAGGCAGCAGUGGGGAAUAUUGGACAAUGGGCGCGAGCCUGAUCCAGCCAUACCGCGUGGGUGAAGAAGGCCUUCGGGUUGUAAAGCCCUUUUGUUGGGAAAGAAAAGCAGCAGGUUAAUAACCCGCUGUUAUGACGGUACCCAAAGAAUAAGCACCGGCUAACUUCGUG